RNAcentral lists this ribosomal RNA (331 nucleotides) under uncultured eukaryote. RNAcentral's name for it is "partial 18S ribosomal RNA". It matches the Rfam family "Eukaryotic small subunit ribosomal RNA", at positions 1470 to 1796 of the family's 1831-position model. The record is from RNAcentral.
CCCUUAGAUGUCCGGGGCCGCACGCGCGCUACACUGAAGGAAUCAGCGUGGCUUUCUCCCUGACCCGAAAGGGUUGGGAAACCCGUUGAAUCUCCUUCGUGAUAGGGAUUGGGGCUUGAAAUUGUUCCCCAUGAACGAGGAAUUCCCAGUAAGCGCGAGUCAUAAGCUCGCGUUGAUUACGUCCCUGCCCUUUGUACACACCGCCCGUCGCUACUACCGAUUGAGUGGUCCGGUGAAGACCUCGGACUGUGGCUGCGGUUGCUUGAUUGCGACUGUGUGCUGUGGGAAGUUGUCUAAAUCUUAUCACUUAGAGGAAGGUGAAGUCGUAACA